GUAAAUCUGAAAAAAAAUAGGAAUGUGUAUAUUGACAUCAACUGAUCCCUAAGAUAAAUGUCAGGUUAUAAAAAAGAAAAAUAUUCUCAAUAUUAUGGGAGAAAACCUGACAAUGUGAAAAGAAGAGUUAAUUGAUUUCCCCUUUAAAAAUUGUUACAAUUAUUCGAUUUAUAUUUUCAUACAGGAACCCAAGCUUACUAAACUUAUUACUAGUUUUGAUAAAGCAAGAGAGGAACUGAGAGUCUAUAUAGUUUGCUGAAGCUUACAGCUCCUAUGUGAUGGUGUUGGGCCUACAAUGCAGGUCUCCUGAUGGCAGCCCUUGGAACUUUGAAUUCCUUAUGACCAUAUUUCAAAUCCCAGUAAAAUGUUUUUGUUGCGGGUAAGAAAAAGUGUGAUGCAAAGUAUCAUGCAUAUGAUGUUUAUCACAGAGAAGGUCUUACUCAUCCCACUAUUUUCACAAGGAAUCAUCCUUUGAAAAAAUUCAGGGUAGAUGUAGAUCCUCACACUCUAAUGAAAACCACAGGUUGGAUAUGUCAGCACUUCCAUACAACUGUGUCACAGCUGGCUGGAUCUUUACUGAAGCAAAAAAUAAACCUACAUUGUCCUACGUAUAGGGAAAGUAGAGUUGUACACGGCAAAUGUUUCAGGGAGUUCUCUUCAGAUUACCUGGAAAAUAUAAAAAUAGGAAGUGAGAUUUCCAUCCCAUUAAGAUUAGCUGCCCUGAACUCUGUUUUCCACAGAAUCAAGGGGAGGUGUUACACAAAAUUCCAGCUUCAUCUCAGAAACUUGUUCCCAGCAUCUCUGUAAACAGUUGGAUCCAAGAAAAAAAAUGUGUUCUUUACUGGUAGGGCUAAUAUCAAGCUCACCCCAUAUAAAUGGGAAAGCUGAGGAUGAGAUCCUUUACAAGGAACAAAGACUGACAGUACAUUCAUCUGAGUCCUGGCCCAAGCAUGCCUUCUUGCAGGAUGACUAGAGGAUGAUACAUUCACCCACUGACCCUUCUGCCCAAGAGUAUCAGCCUGUGAGAAAUGAUGCUAGGGUUUAGACAAAGCCAUUUUUUGACAUUGUGCCCCUGUGGUUUCAGUCUUUAUAACGGCAUUGCCUUUAACAAUACAUUGUGAUGAGAAGAAAUCAUUUUUUCUCUCACUUAGUCAUUCAGCAGAGUGGUUUGGA
Molecule: long non-coding RNA, 1173 nt
Organism: Canis lupus familiaris (dog)
Lineage: Eukaryota; Metazoa; Chordata; Mammalia; Carnivora; Canidae
Exons: 5
Source: RefSeq, a predicted model, not a curated record